This is a non-coding RNA of Lupinus albus (white lupine), 1298 nucleotides long. Lineage: Eukaryota; Viridiplantae; Streptophyta; Magnoliopsida; Fabales; Fabaceae. The record is from the annotation of a GenBank genome assembly.
GGACGAUGAUGAUUUAUAGUUAAGGUCUCGUUCGUCGUAAUUGGCCUUUUGGCCUUGCCGACCAUUCUGCUAUAUCACCACCCAUAUUCCGAGUCCCUCAUUUUUUCAUAUUCAUUUCUCGUUCUUUUGUUUAGCUUUUCUGUAUGUUAUUUAUAACUAGGGUUUCUGAUUUUUCAGUUGGCCAAUGAUUAAAUCUAAAUAAAGACAAGCAUAUGUCUGAACUAACUUAUGUUGAACAAUCUAAUCUUCUCUAUGAGGCCAAUUAUCAUGUUUUAUUUCAAAAUUUAAUCUGUUUAUAUAUUUUGAUUCUUUAUUCUGUGAUCUGCCUAUGAUGCAAGAAAUGGUUAACGUGUAAUGUAUGAAAUUUCAUGAUUACCAUUACCUACUGCCUUCCUUCUGAGGCUUAAUUUUUCAUAAAUUUCUGUAAUAUGUCAAGUUUAUUUUUUAAAAGUACCUUAUUCAGUGAUUGUUUCAAUUAUUUAGUGACGAUUGUUUUGGAAGGGUUCAAGUGAUGAUUUUAAAUGCAUAGUUCAGAUGAUUAUCUGUGAUUAUUUAAUUCUUAUAGUCUUUCGCUCCUAUCUGAUGACCCCUUCGUAAAUUCUUGAAUUAUCCGUUAUUUACCUUUGUUAAUUUCUUAUUGUGUUUGUUGUUCCCAAAUUUGAUUGAAUCGGUUACGUCGAUGAUGAUAAUUUGAAGGCUUGUUUCUCAAAACAUUCGCAGUGGCCGACCAAGAGCUUUCGCCUUCGCCAGGCUUGAGAGCUAAUGCUGUUUUAUCCUUCCUUGGAUGUCUGAGACUUGUAACCAUUUAUGUUUUAUUUAAGUUUUCUUUUAUUACUAGUUAUUUGGAAUGCGAUGUUCUAUGAUGAUAAUCCUAAGGCUUGUUUCUCAAAACAUUCGCAGUGGCCGCCUAAGAGCUUUCGCUUUCGCCAGGCUUGAGAGUUAAUGCUGCUUUAUCCUUCCUUGGAUGUCUGAGAGUUUACACUCCCUUGUUUUGUGAUUUUGAAAUAUUCGUUUAUUGUUUAAUAUAGGUGUUUCUUCUUUGCUGUUUGAAGCAAAGGGUAUAAGCAUAUUCUACUAAUUCGAGAUAAUAUUAUCGUAGUAAUGUGAAGAAAUACUUCUCUCGAAAGAGGAUGCACAAAUGUUUUGUUUUAUGUUUCAUUAUUUUGUAGUACUUGUGGCCAGUGAUGAUAAAAGAAAGGCUUGUUUCUCAAGACAUUCGCAGUGGCCGCCUAAGAACUUUCGCCUUCGCCAGGCUUGAGAGUUAAUGCUGCUUUAUCCUUCCUUGGAUGUCUGAGGCC